This is a long non-coding RNA of Acyrthosiphon pisum (pea aphid), 247 nucleotides long. RefSeq lists it as uncharacterized. The transcript has 2 exons. The record is from RefSeq and is a predicted model, not a curated record. Lineage: Eukaryota; Metazoa; Arthropoda; Insecta; Hemiptera; Aphididae.
AUAUAAAAUGUCUAACAUAGAAAAAUGUGUUGGUGAAGGAUAGAUGGAAAUUCAGCGAAGCUACCAUUAGAUUACAUACAAAUGACAACCAUCCGCUUAAUACCAGUCUUAAUCAAACAAUACAGUCAAUAUUCGAUACUAUGCUAAGAGAUCCCAAGCGUGAAACUCGCAAAAGCAAGACACCAAUUUGAUUAUUAUAUGCAAAAAUAAAUUUAUUUAAUAAACAAAACAUUAUAAUAUUAUAUUA